GACGAACGCUGGCGGCGUGCUUAACACAUGCAAGUCGAACGGAAAGGCCCUGCUUUUGUGGGGUGUUCGCGUGGCGAACGGGUGAGUAACACGUGAGUAACCUGCCCUUGACUUUGGGAUAACUUCAGGAAACUGGGGCUAAUACCGGAUAGGAGCUCCUGCUGCAUGGUGGGGGUUGGAAAGUUUCGGCGGUUGGGGAUGGACUCGCGGCUUAUCAGCUUGUUGGUGGGGUAGUGGCUUACCAAGGCUUUGAAGGGUAGCCGGCCUGGGAGGGUGACCAGCCACAAUGCGACUAAGAUACGGCCCAGACUCGUACGGGAGGCAGCAGUGGGGAAUAUUGCACAAUGGGCGGAAGCCUGAUGCAGCAACGCCGCGUGCGGGAUGACGGCCUUCGGGUUGUAAACCGCUGUCGCCUGUGACGAAGCUGGAGUGACGGUAAUGGGUAAAGAAGCACCGGCUAACUACGUG
RNAcentral lists this ribosomal RNA (468 nucleotides) under uncultured bacterium. RNAcentral's name for it is "partial 16S ribosomal RNA". It matches the Rfam family "Bacterial small subunit ribosomal RNA", at positions 28 to 507 of the family's 1533-position model. The record is from RNAcentral.